GGAAGACAUCCGGCUGGAUUAGGGCGCUGUCUUGAAAACAGCUGGCGUUAACGCGCUUCGGGGUUCGAGUCCCUGGUCUUCCGC
RNAcentral lists this transfer RNA (84 nucleotides) under Pirellula sp. SH-Sr6A. RNAcentral describes it as "tRNA-Ser". Lineage: Bacteria; Pseudomonadati; Planctomycetota; Planctomycetia; Pirellulales; Pirellulaceae. The record is from RNAcentral.